RNAcentral lists this small RNA (506 nucleotides) under Malus domestica (apple). Its description in RNAcentral is "sRNA MD02G0178000". The record is from RNAcentral. Lineage: Eukaryota; Viridiplantae; Streptophyta; Magnoliopsida; Rosales; Rosaceae.
AUGACCCUGAAGUACCUAAUGUCCGACACCAUGUAACUUUUUGAAAGAACAUGUUUUUAAGGAGUCCAGUUGUGCAGAAGACAUCUCCAUUAACCGGUAAUAGAUGAAAUCGUUUGCUAUCAAGGUUUCCGUGCAGAAGAGCGAAAAUGCUGCAAGUGGAGGAUAGAUAACAGCUCAAGACACAUGGUAUGAGGGUGCAGGUAAACUGUACAUACAUAUGCAUCUGGAAAAAGUAAAAAGUAAAGGAGGGUGGCUGUAGCUUCUCCUUCUCGCCACAAUAGAAAAUACUUUUGAACUGCAUUAAGCUGUUAAUAAAUUAAGCUUAAGCUAUAUUUUAUUUAUCAAGAAUGGGUAAACUGUUUUAAAUAGAAAAAUUAAGUGCUUAUAUUAGGUACACUGUCAAUUUUACAAAGUUUUCUGGUAAAUUAGAUAUAUAGUUUAAUUCGCAGAGUUGUGUUGACCUUUACUUUUGGUGCGUCCCCUUUUUCCAAUCCCUAUAUAUCUGC